GGCGCGAUGACCGAGUGGCCUAAGGUGUUUGACUCGAACUAGCUUCGAGACGCAAUCAAAUCUCUUCGGAGGCGCAGGUUCAAAUCCUGCUCGCGUCG
Non-coding RNA from Sordaria brevicollis, 98 nucleotides. Lineage: Eukaryota; Fungi; Ascomycota; Sordariomycetes; Sordariales; Sordariaceae. The record is from the annotation of a GenBank genome assembly.